CAACAGCACAUUUACAAUUUGUGUGACAACUCAUGGAUCCUGUUUCCCAGCAUCUCUCGUAGUCUCGUGUGACUAUGUGAUAACUAGCAAGUGGUACAUCAGUAGACGUGAGAUAUGCCACCUCUCAGGUCAUGACCAUGCCCCCCUAGUUUGUGCAAGGCUUGGUCUUCCCUCAGGUAUGGAGUUUUUCAUACUAACUGUACUAUAACUCAAGGACAAUUAGGUUGACUAGUCACUCUGCUUCCUGACAUAACCAUUAAAACCCCUCAAAUAACUGGGAGGUUGUGGUGAUGUUUUGCUUUUUUGUUUUUAUUUCUUUUUCCUUCCUUCCACCUCUUUAAAUAGACACUGAUGACAAGGUUCUUAACUGUGCUUGAACAUGGCACAACCACGUGCCCACCUGAGUGGCCACAGCAAGAAGCUAUGUGGCUGUCACUCUAGUGACUGCCAUACCUCUCAGGACAUCUGGACUUCAGUUGAGUGAGAAGUAACUUGACGAACUUCUGACUCCUCACUUGUUUCUAUCCCCAUGCCCUUGUCCUGACUGAUAAAGAUAUAUUCUGCAAAGUUAAACUAGACACAAAGUUAAACUAGAUAUUUUGCAAUUGUCUAAGCUAGGGUUACAUGGAAUUUAUUUGGCCUACAUAUCACUAGUCAUCAUCAAAAGAAGUGAGAACAGGAACUCAAAAAGGGCAAGAACUUGGAAGCAGGAACUGAUGCAGAGGCCAUGGAGAUGUGAUGACUCUUGCUUGUAUUAAAUUUAUAUAAUAUAAGUCAGUGCAACUGACCUCUUGUUAACUUUACACACAAACACAUCACUGUUAAGCCACAACCUCUCCUUUCUUAGUCAUCCCCAAGAUCACGCAUUCAUAAAAAUAUCAUCCAACAUUUUACAGUCUUAGUAAGUCUCACAGCCUUUAAAAAUUCAAUCACUUAAAAAUUCACUCUCCCUUCCAACCCCUUACCUGCUGCAGUACUCAAGAGAGUGGGCCCUGGGCAACAUGGUAGAGGUGGCCCUGGUGGCUAAGGUGAGGGUGAGUCAGCCCCUCACUGGGUCAGCAUUGGGUGAGCUAUCCAGGGCAGAACUGGCUGUGUGUGUGUGUGUGUGUGUGUGUGUGAGAGAGAGAGAGAGAGAGAGAGAGAGAGAGAGAGAGAGAGAGAGAGAGAGAGAACUAUCAGGCUACCACGCAGGCCCAGAUCCAAAGCUUUGAGUUCGCCCACCCUAACAUCUACCUCAUCUAUGAACUGUUGGGGUGUGAAAAAGGGCAAGUCCUGCAGAGCCAAAGCUCCAGGAUCUCCAUGACAUAGGACAACAACAGGAUAACCAAGAGGAGUCCCGGUAAAGAUCUCAUAUUGCUAAUGUAGCAGAAGCCAGAGGCCUUGAGUCAUUAUUGAAUCAUUAUUCAUUACAAUGAACAUUUAUAAGUAAAGAUGAGGGGAUAAAAGGUAUACUAUGAGACACAUUGUGACAUACUAUAGCUUCCACUAUAAGAUGUUUUUAUGGUUUUAUGUUUUUGUUUUGUUUUUUAUUUUCUUUUGAGGAGGAGGUUGCAAGGGUUGAGGGUGGAUAUGUAGGGUUUGGAAGAUGAGAAUGAUUGGGGUGCAUGAUGUGAAACUCACAAAGAAUCAAUAGUUUUUUAUUGGUUAUUUUGUUUAUUUACAUUUCAAAUGUUAUCCUCCUUCCUGGUUUCCUCUCCCAAAACCCCCUAUUCCACCUCCCACCCCCUCCUCCAGAAGGGUGCUCUCCCAUCCACCCACCCACUCCCACCCCCAUGCUCUACCAUUCCCCUACACUGGGGCAUCAAGCCUUCACAGGACCAAGGGCCUCCCCUCCCUCUAAUGCCAGAUAAGGCCAAGGCAGCCAGAGCCAUGGGUAUCCCUUGUAUACUCUUUGGUUGGUGGUUUAGUCCCUGGGAGCUCUGGCUGAUCUGGUUGGUUGAUAUUGUUGUUCUUCCUAUGGGGUUGCAAACCCCUUUAGCUCCUUCAGUCUUUCCCCUAAGUCCUCCAUUGGGGUACCCCUGCUCAGUAUGAUGGUUGGCUAUAAGCAUCCCCAUCUGUAUCAGUAAGGCUCAGGAGACAUCCAUUUCAGCUUCUGUUAGCAAGCACUUCUUGGCAUCAGCAAUAGUGUCUGAGUUUGAUGGCUACAUAUGGGAUGGAUCCUGAGGUGGGACAGUCUCUGAAUAGCCUUUUUUGCAGUCUCUGUUCCACUCUUUGUCCCCGUAUUUCCUUAAGACAGGAGCAAUUCUGGGUUAAAAAUUUGAGAAGGGUAGGUGGCCCCUUUUUGAAAAUCACUCUUUAUAAUAUCCAGUCUCCUUUAAAAUAUAAAGUCUUUUAAAAUCCAAAGUCUCUCAAUGGUGGGCUUCUGUAAAAUCAAAAAUAAAGCCUUUCUUACUUCGAUGGGGAAGAACCAGGGCCAAGUUUGGUUGUCAAAGUAAAGCAAAACCAAACUACAACAAUGUAAGUCACUUAAUGUUCAAUGUGUGGGAUGUCCACGAUGUCUGGACUCCUCCAAAGGGCUUGGAUCACAUCUUUCUCUUUGUACUCUGUAGCACACAGCUUAUCUCCUAGGCUCCAGCUGGCUCUAUUCCUCCACUGCUGUUGUUCUUGGUGGUCAUCCCAUAGUUCUGGCAUCUCCAAAACUGUGGGAUAUUCUGUAGUACCUGGGGUUCACUUUCACCAUUAGAUUUUCUGGGCUUCUCUUCAGCCGUGCCACACAGUGCCAAGCUCCAGCUCUUCUCCAUGACCCCUUUCUUCAUGUCUUCAAAACUUGGAUGACUCUUAAAAUACCAAGUUUGGAUGCCAACAGGAUUUACAACCUGGGCCAGUUCUGGACCACAGCUUCUGUGUGAUGACCCUAAGGAAACUCUUCCCAGAAGAUUUCACUUCAGUGAGGCCGGUCUCUUAUUUCGAGUAAUCAGAGGUGACUCUUCAGCCAAAGUUGAUCAGCAUCUAUUGUUGUAGCAAAGGUUUUAUUUUAGUGGUUCUUGUCUCUUGAUAAUCAUAGCCAAUUCUUCAGCUCCAGAUGACCAGACACCACAGAUUCUUGACACAAAUGGCCCUUUUGUGGUUUUUGCUUCCCUCUGAAACAUCACAAGCCAGGCCUCCAUCUUCUGCACUGCUCCCAACGUUCUUAUCUUCCAAGCUCCCAUAGAACAGCUCACUGAGCUCUCAACAUGUAAUGACUUUCCUAUCCUGAAGUUCCAAAGUCCUUCUACAAUCCUCCCAAACACAUGGCCAUAACUGUCACAGCAAUAUCCAACUGUCUUGGCACCAAAUUGCCUUAGUUAGGGUUAUUCUUGCUGUGAUGAAACACCCUGGCCAAGUGAACUUUGGAAGAAAGGGUUUAUUUUACUCACAGUUCUGUAUAGCAGUUCAUCUGUAAAGGUAAGAACUUAAGCAGGAAAGGAACCUGGAGGCAGGAAUUAAUGCAGGGACCAUGGAGAAGUGCAUCUCUCUGGCCUGCUUAUCAUGGCUUGCUCAGCCUGCUCUUUUAUGGAACCUAGAACCAACAGGCCAGGAAUGUAUGACCUACAAGGGCCUAGGCCCUCACCCACCAAUCACUAACUAAGAAAAAGCCCUACAGCUGUAUCUAUGGAGGCAAUUCUUCUCAAUUUAGGCUCCCUCCUCUCUGAUGACUCUAGCUUAUACCAAUUUUACAUAAAACCAGCUACUACACAAACUUAGAGUAAAGUACAUCUAAAAUAUACAGGCCAAUUCACUGGAGAAGUUUUAUAAGAGGGAGUUUUAGAAGAAAUAAAAGACAAGAAAGAAACUGCUGAUAAACCUAGUUUAAGUCCACCAUGACAUAGUCUAAAAUGUACCUUCAUGAUUCAUAGUAUCAUCAUAAAAUGUCCCACGCCAACAAUUCAACAUUGCAGAAUGGUAUGGAGGGCAAAACAUGAAGUUAGAAUUUAACACACAUGGAUUCAUACCUGAAAGACCCCCUCCCAGAAAGGGAAUUGUACAAGCCCAAGGCCCUCAACUAUAGAAGUAAAAAGUAAGUUUUUAGAUAUGUGGGACAAGCUGACCCAUCAUUUAGACGAAACAGACCAUAAAAGAAAACAAAAUGCAGAAACCAGACUAAAUUAUGGGCACUACUCCAUGGGCCACCUGACAGGAAAAAGAAAAAGUCCCUGACCCCCCGGAAGCCCUGACCACCAUGUACUUUUUGCUAACUCAUUGUUAUGAUUAUAGCCAAAAUAAGUAACAUACACGUAUGCCUCAUUUACUCCACCAAUCACAUCCCUGUAACUAUGCAUCUGCUUCUGUAAGUCUGCUUCUGCUCCCCAAUGCCUUAUAAAAACCCGUCCCUGGCUCUGCUAGGCGCGCCAGUCUUCCGAAUUGACUGGGACGCCCACAGAUACCUGUGUAUCCUGAUCAAUAAAAAUCCUCUUGCUGAUUGCAGCCUGUGGACUCGGACUGGUCAUUGGGCUUGAGGAUCUCCCUCCUGAGGGAAGAUUCUCUCUGAGAGUCUUACAUAUGGGGGCUCGUCCGGGAUCGGAGAUCCUCUGCCUAGAGACCACCGACCACCCACCGGGAGUAACUGUUACAGGUCUUCUUUACCACUGAGGAAAGAUGGAAUCCUACUGGAGGCCAGAAAGAAUGUUCCAGACAUGGAUGGAAGACCCUCACUCCUGACUGUUGACUUGAAUACCCCUGAAGGUAGGGAGUGCUCAGGGUCUGCCACCAGGCUCCAAGGGUGGGUCUCCGAGGGGCUGGAAAAUGCCCCACCAAUCUGGCUAAGAUAAGAAAAAGAUAUAAAGAGAGAAAGUUACAAAAAUUUAAAGGGUUAAGCUAAGUUGCUGAGAGUUAGUGUAAGUUGCAGAGAAAGUAAAGUUGAAGUGUAGUUACAUAAGUGGACAGCAUCUAAUAGCUGUAGAGGAAGAUGCAGAAGAUAUGAGAGAGAGACUGAGGAAGAGAAAGAGGAAAGAAGGUAAAAAGAGCAGGAAGCUAAGGAAGAAAAGAGACAAAAGGAAAAAAAAGCUAGAGAGCUAAAGAGGGAUAAAAGACAGGAGAGGAAUAUAUACUGGCCACAGUAGUUAGGAAACCUAGGAAGACAGUACCUGGCAACAGAAGAGAAUUCCUAGCUAAAGAUCAGUGUGCCUAUCGCAAGGAAAAAGGACACUGGGUCAGGGACUGCCCCAGGAAGAACAAGAAGGGCCUCUCCAGCAACCCGGAAGGCAAGCCUCUUGGUUCUAGAGUGCUGGCUAUGCGCUAAGAUAGAAGGGAAGCCGGCCCAGUUGUUUUGUGAAUACAGGGGCCCAACACUCUGUGCUCCUACGCCCAAAUGGGCUAGUGUCAAGCAAAAGACCUUGAGUGCAAGGGGCUACUGGCAACAAAUGAUACUCAUGGACUACCCGAAGAACGGUGGAGCUUGGCGUGGGCCGGGUAUCCCACUUGUUCCUUGUGAUUCCAGACUGCCCCUACGAGUCUAAACCCUGCAACCCUGCUCCCGGACCCCGACCUAGACACCCCCCUUCAUGACUGUCAGCAGGUGCUCACUAAAGCACAGGAGUGGCAUAAAGAUCUGACUGACCAGCCACCAGAGGGGGUAGAUGCCAUCUGGUUCAUAGAUGGGAGCAGCUUCUUAGAGAAGAAAAAAGAUGGGCUGGGGCAACAGUGGUAGAUGGAAACAGAAUCAUAUGGGCUCAGGCCCUACCAGAAGGCACUUCUACUCAGAGGGUAGAGCUCGCUCCCCUCACCAAAGCCCUUGGGCUGAGAAAGAGACUUAACAUCUAUGUGGACAGCACGUAUGCCUUUGCUACAGCCCAUCAGCAGAGGGGCCUGCUGACAUCUGAGGGCAAGAAAAAAAGAGAUUCUGGCUAUGUUAAGGACCCUCUAUGACCCAGCCAGGCUGAGGAAGAGACUCUGCUACACCUCAACGAGAAAGAAGAUCCUGCUACAAUUUUUACAGGCAGAGGCAUGGUAAAACAAAUGCAUCAAUAGACUCACUUAGGGGUAAGCAAACUCAUCCAGACGUUUUCAAAAACUAAAUAUUAUGUCACAGGUCUCAAGUAUCUCGUGGAACAGAUAGUGCACUGAUGUAUACCAUGCCAAAAGGUAACUGUUUUCAGGAAAGUUGACUCUGGUAGGAGGCUCCGUGGGGAACGGCCUGGAUACUACUGAGAAGUGGACUUCACAGAGAUAAAACCAGGAAAAUAUGGUUAUAAAUGUCUCCUAGUGUUUAUAGAUAUCUUUUCAGGAAUAGGUAGAAGCUUUCCCCACCAAGCAAGAGACGGCCUCAAUAGUCAUCAAGAAGAUACUGGAAGAAAUCUUCCCCCGAUUUAGAAUGCCCAAGGUAAUCUGGUCAGACAACAGCCCUACUUUCAUUGCCAAGGUAAGCCAGGGUGUGGCCAAGUAUUUAGAGGUCAAUUGAAAAUUACGUUAUAUUUACAGACCUCAAAGUUCAGGACAGGUAGAAUAAAUAAAUAAAAUUUUAAAAGAGACCCUGACCAAAUUAACCAUGGAGACUGGCACAGACUGGGUGACACUCCUUCCCUCUUGCUCUCUUUAGAGCAAGAAAUACCCCUUCCAGAUUCAGCUUUACCCCCUUUGAGAUCUUAUAUGGGGCCUCAGCUCCCCUGACUAUAUUAGAUGAUGUUACUGAACCAACAUGUCAUAGUAAUAAUGAUUUAUAUGCCAGGCUAAAAGACCUACAGGUGAUACAGAAAGAAAUCUGCUCACAGCCGACAGCAGCCUAUGCCCCGGAGACCCCCGAGACAUGUCAUCAGUUCCAGGUUAGAGACUGCAGCUACACUGAGCCCAGACACUCGAGCCUCGCUAGAAAGGACCGUACCUGGUGCUGCUGACCACCCUGACAGCCAUCAAGUCUCAGCCCUCACCAGCAGCGUACUAGCUGUUGGGGCUAAGAGCUGGGACCUAGAGGGACACUCAGAUCUUCAAAAAGCUCCCUAGACUUAAGUGAUUGAGAGGUUGCUAUAAUGCUCACUUGAGGAGUGUGUUUUAGAAACAAGAAUUUCAUGUUUGCCUGUUUGCCCUGGGUUCCCUCGGAAUAGGUGUAAGGAUAGGCUUGAUUUUUAUUGCAAAUGAUGUAAUAUUACAUAUGUUAGUACUCCUAACACUUCUUGGGACUGUACCUCAGGGAUCACAAUCUGUAUAAGUUUAGAAGUUCUAAAAGACCUUGGUGUAUAGGUUCAGAUAGUGUCCAGAUUAGAAUCCUGAUGCUAAAGACUUAAUAAGACACAAAAGAGAGUUGAGAAUUAUUUAAGGCUAUCUAGGUGCUACAAGGGCAGCACAAGGACAUCUUCAGUUGCCCUACAAUGCAAAAAAGAAUAAAAAAGACUUUUUAGCUGACCUCCAAGAAUACCUAACCUCCCUCUCAGAGGUAGUCCUUCAAAAUAGGAAAAGAUUAGACCUGAUAUUCCUUAAAGAAAGAGUCUGUGUGCUACACUAAAAGAAGAAUGUUGUUUCUAUGCAGAUCAGACAGGAAUAGUAAGAGAUACAGACUUUCAGUCAUUCAAACUUUUGUGCAGAGACAACAGUAUCAGAUGGUGGAAAAAAAAAAAAACAGAGGUACCUUAACCAAGUUGAGUGGAAGAUUCCACUCAAGGACAAAAAAAGAAAAUGGGGGAAUGAAAGACCCCCUCCCAGAAAGGGAAUUGUACAAGCCCAAGGCCCUCAACUAUAGAAGUAAAAAGUAAGUUUUUAGAUAUGUGGGACAAGCUGACCCAUCAUUUAGACGAAACAGACCAUAAAAGAAAACAAAAUGCAGAAACCAGACUAAAUUAUGGGCACUACUCCAUGGGCCACCUGACAGGAAAAAGAAAAAGUCCCUGACCCCCCGGAAGCCCUGACCACCAUGUACUUUUUGCUAACUCAUUGUUAUGAUUAUAGCCAAAAUAAGUAACAUACACGUAUGCCUCAUUUACUCCACCAAUCACAUCCCUGUAACUAUGCAUCUGCUUCUGUAAGUCUGCUUCUGCUCCCCAAUGCCUUAUAAAAACCCGUCCCUGGCUCUGCUAGGCGCACCAGUCUUCCGAAUUGACUGGGACGCCCACAGAUACCUGUGUAUCCUGAUCAAUAAAAAUCCUCUUGCUGAUUGCA
Rattus norvegicus (Norway rat) is the source of this 8064-nucleotide non-coding RNA. Lineage: Eukaryota; Metazoa; Chordata; Mammalia; Rodentia; Muridae. The record is from RefSeq and is a predicted model, not a curated record.